This 202-nucleotide unclassified non-coding RNA is filed under the name rhizosphere metagenome. RNAcentral describes it as "partial ribosomal RNA internal transcribed spacer region". The record is from RNAcentral.
GAGUAAGGGUGCUCAGCGCCCGACCUCCAACCCUUUGUUGUUAAAACUACCUUGUUGCUUUGGCGGGACCGCUCGGUUCCGAGCCGCUGGGGAUUCGUCCCAGGCGAGUGCCCGCCAGAGUUAAACCAAACUCUUGUUAUUAAACCGGUCGUCUGAGUACUAUAUAAUAGUUAAAACUUUCAACAACGGAUCUCUUGGUUCU